CAUCUUAAUACUUUUUCAGUAGAUCAUGAAGCAGUUUAUUUAAUAUUAUUUGGAUAACAAGCCUCCACAUGAAUGGGAUUCGAAUGUCAAUUGUCUUAGGGGAAAAAAGAUUUAUUGGUUGGUAAAUAUUGAGAAAAGAAAGCUGAUAAAGACUGGCUUCAGCUGCGGCCUCUGCCGGGGACGGGAGAACAGGCCUGUGUUGUGUUUUGGGGCCCUGGGAAGGCAAAAACUGGUGAAUGUCUGCCUUUGUUGGUGGGUGUAAAAGUGGAGCCCACCACAAAUAAUUUCUUAUUUCUGUUCCCAUAGAUUUUCAAUUAUGUAGCCCCCUACCUUACGAAGUAUUAAAGCGGUCUUGUUUAAGAAAAAGGCACCUAAAUAAUGAAGCUUAUGUAGCUUGUUUUCAGACAUCAAUAUCUGGCUUUGAGGGGCACAAAAAGAUAAAGGAACGUGGAUUCAU
This 457-nucleotide small RNA is filed under the name Meriones unguiculatus (Mongolian gerbil). RNAcentral describes it as "sRNA (ENSMUGG00000015107.1)". The record is from RNAcentral. Lineage: Eukaryota; Metazoa; Chordata; Mammalia; Rodentia; Muridae.